Pelodiscus sinensis (Chinese soft-shelled turtle) is the source of this 342-nucleotide non-coding RNA. NCBI's taxonomy places the organism in Eukaryota, Metazoa, Chordata, Testudines, Trionychidae. The record is from RefSeq and is a predicted model, not a curated record.
CACCACCCUGCCUGGGACAUCCUCCCACACCUGGGCACUGCAGGCUGGCCCAUGCCCAAGAGGACUACCAGUGGCAGCACUGGGGGAUACUGCGAGGCAUGCACCGCACCCUCAACCACUGGGUGCACAAAGACCUGCAGCUCCGGCGGGAGAGCUGGCUUGAAUCUUUCCUAAAAUACUCAAUGGAAAUCUAUGCGGAGCAAUGACGUUUUCAUUUUGGUGCCGUGACUCGGAUGGCAACGCCCAAUUGAAGACAGUGACAGCGGCUGCAGACCAUCCCCCUUCGCCCCCAGGGUGCCAAACGAGAGGUAAGAGACCUUUUGAAAUCUCUACUGGGGUGUG